UACGAAGGGGGCUAGCGUUGCUCGGAAUCACUGGGCGUAAAGGGUGCGUAGGCGGAUCUUUAAGUCCGUGGUGAAAUCCUGGAGCUCAACUCCAGAACUGCCUUUGAUACUGAGGAUCUUGAGUUCUGGAGAGGUGAGUGGAACUGCGAGUGUAGCGGUGAAAUUCGUAGAUAUUCGCAAGAACACCAGUGGCGAAGGCGGCUCGCUGGACCGAUACUGACGCUGAGGCACGAAAGCGUGGGGAGCAAACAGG
RNAcentral lists this ribosomal RNA (253 nucleotides) under uncultured bacterium. RNAcentral's name for it is "partial 16S ribosomal RNA". It matches the Rfam family "Bacterial small subunit ribosomal RNA", at positions 524 to 776 of the family's 1533-position model. The record is from RNAcentral.